This 673-nucleotide ribosomal RNA is filed under the name Achromobacter kerstersii. RNAcentral's name for it is "bacterial SSU rRNA". Lineage: Bacteria; Pseudomonadati; Pseudomonadota; Betaproteobacteria; Burkholderiales; Alcaligenaceae. The record is from RNAcentral.
GGCAGCACGGACUUCGGUCUGGUGGCGAGUGGCGAACGGGUGAGUAAUGUAUCGGAACGUGCCUAGUAGCGGGGGAUAACUACGCGAAAGCGUAGCUAAUACCGCAUACGCCCUACGGGGGAAAGCAGGGGAUCGCAAGACCUUGCACUAUUAGAGCGGCCGAUAUCGGAUUAGCUAGUUGGUGGGGUAACGGCUCACCAAGGCGACGAUCCGUAGCUGGUUUGAGAGGACGACCAGCCACACUGGGACUGAGACACGGCCCAGACUCCUACGGGAGGCAGCAGUGGGGAAUUUUGGACAAUGGGGGAAACCCUGAUCCAGCCAUCCCGCGUGUGCGAUGAAGGCCUUCGGGUUGUAAAGCACUUUUGGCAGGAAAGAAACGUCAUGGGCUAAUACCCCGUGAAACUGACGGUACCUGCAGAAUAAGCACCGGCUAACUACGUGCCAGCAGCCGCGGKRAUACGUAGGGUGCAAGCGUUAAUCGGAAUUACUGGGCGUAAAGCGUGCGCAGGCGGUUCGGAAAGAAAGAUGUGAAAUCCCAGAGCUUAACUUUGGAACUGCAUUUUUAACUACCGAGCUAGAGUGUGUCAGAGGGAGGUGGAAUUCCGCGUGUAGCAGUGAAAUGCGUAGAUAUGCGGAGGAACACCGAUGGCGAAGGCAGCCUCCUGGGAUA